Molecule: ribosomal RNA, 791 nt
Filed under: Bacillus sp. IST101
Lineage: Bacteria; Bacillati; Bacillota; Bacilli; Caryophanales; Bacillaceae
Description: bacterial SSU rRNA
Rfam family: Bacterial small subunit ribosomal RNA
Source: RNAcentral
GUCGACGCUGGCGGCGUGCCUAAUACAUGCAAUCUCGAGCGGACUUUAAAGCUUGCUUUUAAAGUUAGCGGCGGACGGGUGAGUAACACGUGGGCAACCUGCCUGUAAGACUGGGAUAACUUCGGGAAACCGGAGCUAAUACCGGAUAAUCCUUUUCCUCUCAUGAGGAAAAGCUGAAAGACGGUUUACGCUGUCACUUACAGAUGGGCCCGCGGCGCAUUAGCUAGUUGGUGAGGUAACGGCUCACCAAGGCGACGAUGCGUAGCCGACCUGAGAGGGUGAUCGGCCACACUGGGACUGAGACACGGCCCAGACUCCUACGGGAGGCAGCAGUAGGGAAUCUUCCGCAAUGGACGAAAGUCUGACGGAGCAACGCCGCGUGAGUGAUGAAGGUUUUCGGAUCGUAAAACUCUGUUGUUAGGGAAGAACAAGUACAAGAGUAACUGCUUGUACCUUGACGGUACCUAACCAGAAAGCCACGGCUAACUACGUGCCAGCAGCCGCGGUAAUACGUAGGUGGCAAGCCGUUGUCCCGGAAUUUUGGGGCGUAAGCGCGCGCAGGCGGUCCUUUUAGUCUGAUGUGGAAAGCCCACGGCUCAACGGUGGAGGGUCAUUGGAAACUGGGGGACUUGAGUCAGAAAAAAAAAGUGUAAUUCCCCGUGUACCGGUGAAAUGCCUAAGAUUGGGGAGACCCAAGUGCGAAGGCACUCUUGGGUCGGAACUGACCUGAAGGCCGAAAGCUGGGGAGCAACGGAUAAAAACCCUGGUACCCCCCCAAACAUGGAGCAAGG